CGGGGUGCACCAGGCGCGAAAACUUUACAAUGCUGGCAACAGCGAUAAGGGGACCUUGAGUGCCAGGAUACAAUCUUGGCUGUCGUCGUGUCUAAAAAACACGAUAUAGCAAGGGCCGGGCAAGACCGGUGCCAGCCGCCGCGGUAACACCGGCGGCUCGGGUGGUAACCGCUAUUAUUGGGUCUAAAGGGUCUGUAGCCGGCUUGGUUAGUCUCUUGGGAAAUCCGGCAGCUUAACUGUCGGGCUUUCAGGAGAUACUGCCAGGCUCGAGACCGGGAGAGGUGAGAGGUACUUCAUGGGUAGGGGUGAAAUCUUGUAAUCCUUGAAGGACCACCUGUGGCGAAGGCGUCUCACCAGAACGGAUCUGACGGCAAGGGACGAAAGCUAGGGGCACGAACCGGAUUAGAUACCCGGGUAGUCCUAGCCGUAAACGAUACUCGCUAGGUGUCGGCCACGGUGCGACCGUGGUCGGUGCCGUAGGGAAGCCGUGAAGCGAGCCACCUGGGAAGUACGGCCGCAAGGCUGAAACUUAAAGGAAUUGGCGGGGGAGCA
This 552-nucleotide ribosomal RNA is filed under the name uncultured archaeon. RNAcentral describes it as "bacterial SSU rRNA". It matches the Rfam family "Archaeal small subunit ribosomal RNA", at positions 326 to 878 of the family's 1478-position model. The record is from RNAcentral.